Molecule: long non-coding RNA, 364 nt
Organism: Engraulis encrasicolus (European anchovy)
Lineage: Eukaryota; Metazoa; Chordata; Actinopteri; Clupeiformes; Engraulidae
Exons: 2
Source: RefSeq, a predicted model, not a curated record
CAGGCACCACCAUUCACCGCUGUGUGUCCAUCACUGUACUCACCGGAUUCAUCCCCUUGAGCACAUCAUUAGGAGCAACGGUCAGGUUUUUUGGACGGAUAGGAUUGAAAAGAAGACAACUGGGCCAGGACUUCACCUGGUCAAAGGACACUGAUGGCGAGCCUUUCCCAGAGCGACCACGGAUACCCUUAAGUACCCUACAAAGGAACUUUCCCCCCCUUUUUCCACUUUUUACCAUUUCUAUUUUGUUUAAGGCCCCGGGACCAUUGUUUAUUUUAAGUGUGCACACUGUUUUAUUUUAUUUGGGUUUUUAUACACUUCAAACAUUUUGUAAACAAUAUACGAGUUUUCACUCAAAAAGGAA